CUGUGAAGCCCAGAACAGAAGAGGACGUCAUAACUCCACCUUACAUCUGAUUGUUGUGGCAGGGAAUUCAACAAUAGUAAUGAAUAUCAUCAGGUUGACUCUGGUGGUCUUGAUGCUGAUUCCUCUGCUUCUCCUGAAUCUGUGGACGAGG
This is a long non-coding RNA of Micropterus salmoides (largemouth bass), 151 nucleotides long. RefSeq lists it as uncharacterized. The record is from RefSeq and is a predicted model, not a curated record. NCBI's taxonomy places the organism in Eukaryota, Metazoa, Chordata, Actinopteri, Centrarchiformes, Centrarchidae. The transcript has 2 exons.